RNAcentral lists this ribosomal RNA (491 nucleotides) under uncultured bacterium. Its description in RNAcentral is "partial 16S ribosomal RNA". It matches the Rfam family "Bacterial small subunit ribosomal RNA", at positions 29 to 507 of the family's 1533-position model. The record is from RNAcentral.
GUGAACGCUGGCGGUAGGCCUAACACAUGCAAGUCGAACGGCAGCACAGUAAGAGCUUGCUCUUACGGGUGGCGAGUGGCGGACGGGUGAGGAAUACAUCGGAAUCUACUUUUUCGUGGGGGAUAACGUAGGGAAACUUACGCUAAUACCGCAUACGACCUACGGGUGAAAGCAGGGGAUCUUCGGACCUUGCGCGAUUGCAUGAGCCGAUGUCGGAUUAGCUAGUUGGCGGGGUAAAGGCCCACCAAGGCGACGAUCCGUAGCUGGUCUGAGAGGAUGAUCGGCCACACUGGAACUGAGACACGGUCCAGACUCCUACGGGAGGCAGCAGUGGGGAAUAUUGGACAAUGGGCGCAAGCCUGAUCCAGCAAUACCGCGUGGGUGAAGAAGGCCUUCGGGUUGUAAAGCCCUUUUGUUGGGGAAGAAAAGCAGCAGGUGAAUACCCCGCUGUUCUGACGGUACCCAAAGAAUAAGCACCGGCUAACUUCGUG